UGAUACUAAGCCAUGCGAGUCUUUGUAGUAAUACAAGGCAGACGGCUCAGUAACACGUAGUCAACCUACCCUAUGGACGAGAAUAAUCUCGGGAAACUGAGCAUAAUUCUUGAUAGAUCAUAAUGCCUGGAAUGGUUUAUGGUUAAAAUGAUUCGUCGCCAUAGGAUGGGACUGCGGCCUAUCAGCUUGUUGGUGAGGUAAUGGCCCACCAAGGCGAUUACAGGUACGGGCUCUGAGAGGAGAAGCCCGGAGAUGGGUACUGAGACACGGACCCAGGCCCUAUGGGGCGCAGCAGGCGAGAAAACUUUGCAAUGUGCGAAAGCACGACAAGGUUAAUCCGAGUGAUUUCUGCUAAAGAAAUCUUUUGCCAGUCGUAAAACCGCUGGUGAAUAAGGGGUGGGCAAGUUCUGGUGUCAGCCGCCGCGGUAAAACCAGCACCUCAAGUGGUCAGGAUGAUUAUUGGGCCUAAAGCAUCCGUAGCCGGCUUUGUAAGUUUUCGGUUAAAUCCAUGUGCUCAACGCAUGGGCUGCCGAAAAUACUGCAUAGCUAGGGAGUGGAAGAGGUAGACGGUACUCAGUAGGUAGGGGUAAAAUCCUUUGAUCUAUUGAUGACCACCUGUGGCGAAGGCGGUCUACCAGAACACGUUCGACGGUGAGGGAUGAAAGCUGGGGGAGCAAACCGGAUUAGAUACCCGGGUAGUCCCAGCUGUAAACGAUGCAGACUCGAUGAUGCAUUGGCAUAAUAGCCAUUGCAGUGUCCC
RNAcentral lists this ribosomal RNA (760 nucleotides) under uncultured archaeon. RNAcentral describes it as "bacterial SSU rRNA". It matches the Rfam family "Archaeal small subunit ribosomal RNA", at positions 39 to 804 of the family's 1478-position model. The record is from RNAcentral.